This 73-nucleotide transfer RNA is filed under the name Paracoccaceae bacterium. RNAcentral describes it as "Rhodobacteraceae bacterium tRNA-Ile". It matches the Rfam family "tRNA". Rfam says of the family: Transfer RNA (tRNA) molecules are approximately 80 nucleotides in length. Their secondary structure includes four short double-helical elements and three loops (D, anti-codon, and T loops). Further hydrogen bonds mediate the characteristic L-shaped molecular structure. tRNAs have two regions of fundamental functional importance: the anti-codon, which is responsible for specific mRNA codon recognition, and the 3' end, to which the tRNAs corresponding amino acid is attached (by aminoacyl-tRNA synthetases). tRNAs cope with the degeneracy of the genetic code in two manners: having more than one tRNA (with a specific anti-codon) for a particular amino acid; and 'wobble' base-pairing, i.e. permitting non-standard base-pairing at the 3rd anti-codon position. The record is from RNAcentral. Lineage: Bacteria; Pseudomonadati; Pseudomonadota; Alphaproteobacteria; Rhodobacterales; Paracoccaceae.
ACUCAUUUAGCUCAGCAGGUAGAGCAUUGGUCUUAUGAGCCAAGGGUCCUGGGUUCAAACCCCAGAUUGAGUA